GAUGAACGCUGGCGGCGUGCCUAAUACAUGCAAGUCGAACGAAACUUCUUUAUCACCGAGUGCUUGCACUCACCGAUAAAGAGUUGAGUGGCGAACGGGUGAGUAACACGUGGGCAACCUGCCCCAAAGAGGGGGAUAACACUUGGAAACAGGUGCUAAUACCGCAUAACCAUAGUUACCGCAUGGUAACUAUGUAAAAGGUGGCUAUACUACCGCUUUUGGAUGGGCCCGCGGCGCAUUAGCUAGUUGGUAGGGUAAAGGCUUACCAAGGCAAUGAUGCGUAGCCGAAUUGAGAGGUUGAUCGGCCACAUGGGGACUGAGACACGGCCCAAACUCCUACGGGAGGCAGCAGUAGGGAAUCUUCCACAAUGGGCGAAAGCCUGAUGGAGCAACGCCGCGUGGGUGAAGAAGGUCUUCGGAUCGUAAAACCCUGUUGUUAGAGAAGAAAGUGCGUGAGAGUAACUGUUCACGUUUCGACGGUAUCUAACCAGAAAGCCACGGCUAACUACGUG
This 512-nucleotide ribosomal RNA is filed under the name uncultured bacterium. Its description in RNAcentral is "partial 16S ribosomal RNA". It matches the Rfam family "Bacterial small subunit ribosomal RNA", at positions 28 to 507 of the family's 1533-position model. The record is from RNAcentral.